UAGCGGCAGGCUUAACACAUGCAAGUCGAGGGGUAACAGGGUGCUUGCACCGCUGACGACCGGCGAACGGGUGCGUAACGCGUAUAGAAUCUGCCUUGUACAGGAGGAUAGCCUUUAGAAAUGAAGAUUAAUACUCCAUAGUGUAGAGAGGUGGCAUCACUUUUUUAUUAAAGAUUUAUCGGUACAAGAUGACUAUGCGUCCUAUUAGCUAGAUGGUAAGGUAACGGCUUACCAUGGCAACGAUAGGUAGGGGGUCUGAGAGGAUUAUCCCCCACACUGGUACUGAGACACGGACCAGACUCCUACGGGAGGCAGCAGUGAGGAAUAUUGGUCAAUGGAGGCAACUCUGAACCAGCCAUGCCGCGUGCAGGAAGACUGCCCUAUGGGUUGUAAACUGCUUUUAUACAGGAAGAAACAGUCGUACGUGUACGGCCUUGACGGUACUGUAAGAAUAAGCACCGGCUAACUCCGUGCCAGCAGCCGCGGUAAU
RNAcentral lists this ribosomal RNA (490 nucleotides) under marine sediment bacterium ISA-6360. Its description in RNAcentral is "bacterial SSU rRNA". It matches the Rfam family "Bacterial small subunit ribosomal RNA", at positions 37 to 524 of the family's 1533-position model. The record is from RNAcentral.